This 1341-nucleotide long non-coding RNA is filed under the name Nicotiana tabacum (common tobacco). RNAcentral's name for it is "long non-coding RNA (NTAB_LNC006633)". Lineage: Eukaryota; Viridiplantae; Streptophyta; Magnoliopsida; Solanales; Solanaceae. The record is from RNAcentral.
AAGACAGUGUCUUUAAACCAUCGAUGACGAACCAAAAACCUCUUGAACUUCAACUUGCUCUACACUUUCUUCAAAUAUAGGUUCUUCGGAUUUCAAAUUUUGAUCUGUUAAAAUAACAAAUUUAUGCGAGUUUAGUAUCAAAGAAUAAAUAACUAAAGAAGAAAAUAAACACUUUAAAGGGAAAAUGAACAGAUAAUACCUUAAAUUAUCGAAUGCACAGAUAGAUAACCAUAUUCAUGAGAAGUAAGUUGACUAGCCAAAGAAGUGAUAAGUUCAAUUAAAUUCUAGCCAAGUACCAGACUAACUUAUACCAAAUUACCUAAUCAUUAUUGGACCCAAAAUAUACUUUUUCACCUUUUCAAAAUUUUUCCCAAAACAAAACCAAAACAAACGUCAUGAAUCUUAACCAAUGUUCCUAGAUACCAAUUGGCAAUCUGCCACCAGCUUACAAAAAAAUGAACUAGUACUUAUUAAAGGGAGAACAAUGACCAAACAUUUAAGAAAAGAAAACCUUAAGUCUGUAUGCAAGAUGGCUAGUGUAACAUGUCUUUCACCACAGUGCGUAAUUUUUUAAUUUAUGAUUAUACGACUGGAGGACUCCGUAUAGCAUUCUAAGUUUCAAGUCUUGAAUCCAUAUUCUUUAAAAGUGUGGAGAUAUUAGAUAGAAUAGCAGAUUCUCCAUUUCUUUCCAACUAAUGUCUUCUCAACUAUGGAAGAAGGUCUCAAUAAUAGCUUAAAAUCUUUUAAACUCUUGUCCAAGGUAUGAAAUAUAUAUGACAUUUUAAAUGCCGAAGAUUGUAUCAAGGCCAUGAAGAGGUUAAUUGUCAUUUGAUUACAAAGAUUACUAGCAGUAACAUGCAAAGAGAUAAAGAAAUUACCAGAAGAGCAAUUUGAAGCUACUCAUAGUAGAUCAAGAAAAGAAACCAAAAGCUCCAAUUUUUACAAAGAGAAAAUAAUAACUAAAAAAUCAUAAUCAUAACAAUAAUAGUUAUAAUAGUUGUAGCAUUUUACUAGUAACCAUAAUAACACUAAUUAUAACAACAACAUACUAACCAACAAAGCUCGUGAUUUUAUCAUCAAGAAACAAACAGAGAGAAAUAAAAAGAAGGCAACAAUUCAAAUGGAAAUAAAGCUAGAAGCUAAAGCAGAAAAUUAUAGAAAAGAACAAAGAAAAGUAGAGUACCCUUUAGUUAUUUCAAGAAAAUUGCAGGCUCAGAGCUUAAGUGAUAUGACAGGAUUGUUCUGCUUUGUGGGUAUUCUAGUUUCUACUAAAAAUGGUGAGGUAGAAAGAGAGAUAAUAAUAAGUGUAACAGGAAAGAAAUAGAGAUAAGAUCAUUGGAG